GGGGAUAACUACUGGAAACGGUAGCUAAUACCGCAUAACGUCGCAAGACCAAAGAGGGGGACCUUCGGGCCUCUUGCCAUCGGAUGUGCCCAGAUGGGAUUAGCUUGUUGGUGGGGUAACGGCUCACCAAGGCGACGAUCCCUAGCUGGUCUGAGAGGAUGACCAGCCACACUGGAACUGAGACACGGUCCAGACUCCUACGGGAGGCAGCAGUGGGGAAUAUUGCACAAUGGGCGCAAGCCUGAUGCAGCCAUGCCGCGUGUAUGAAGAAGGCCUUCGGGUUGUAAAGUACUUUCAGCGGGGAGGAAGGGAGUAAAGUUAAUACCUUUACUCAUUGACGUUACCCGCAGAAGAAGCACCGGCUAACUCCGUGCCAGCAGCCGCGGUAAUACGGAGGGUGCAAGCGUUAAUCGGAAUUACUGGGCGUAAAGCGCACGCAGGCGGUUUGUUAAGUCAGAUGUGAAAUCCCCGGGCUCAACCUGGGAACUGCAUCUGAUACUGGCAAGCUUGAGUCUCGUAGAGGGGGGUAGAAUUCCAGGUGUAGCGGUGAAAUGCGUAGAGAUCUGGAGGAAUACCGGUGGCGAAGGCGGCCCCCUGGACGAAGACUGACGCUCAGGUGCGAAAGCGUGGGGAGCAAACAGGAUUAGAUACCCU
RNAcentral lists this ribosomal RNA (654 nucleotides) under uncultured bacterium. Its description in RNAcentral is "bacterial SSU rRNA". It matches the Rfam family "Bacterial small subunit ribosomal RNA", at positions 139 to 788 of the family's 1533-position model. The record is from RNAcentral.